Molecule: unclassified non-coding RNA, 3528 nt
Filed under: Hevea brasiliensis (rubber tree)
Lineage: Eukaryota; Viridiplantae; Streptophyta; Magnoliopsida; Malpighiales; Euphorbiaceae
Source: RNAcentral
UUUUUAAAAGGGAAAAAGUAACCUUUACUCAAUAAUGUUGACAAUAAAACUAUGUGGUUACAGAACAUUUUGUUAUUUUUUCUCCUUUUGCUCUCGGUUCUACCGUAUACAUAAGAUGGAACGUUAAAUCAUCCCUAAUCCUACAACUAAUCUUUGAUCUUUCUCCAAAAUAGUAUACAGUGACUUAAAAUUCACAACCUCUGGAACUAAAGCCGCCUGUACAGCUCUCCAGAUAUCAUUAAACUGAUCUGUGAUUGAUAAAAGACUUAGUCAUUGAACAGCUUGAUUACAUAAAGAAAUCCAUCUGAUGGACAGUACUACUAAACUUCAGGACCAGAAGCAAAUAAGCUAAUAAGCCCUUGAAAUACUUGUGCUGAGAGUUGGUGUGCUGGAAAGAGCUCGCCAUCCAAAUUCCAGACGCUCUCAUUGCCAAACGAAGUAAAUGUAAAAGCUGGGGUCUUAUGGUGUUCUACAAACUCAAAAUUCAGGGGUUUUCCACCUCUCUUUGCAAGCUGGGUAAGGUGCCAUAAAUACAAAGCACGAGGACAAUCUCUAAUCAACAGAAGAUGCAGGAAACCAUCAGAAAGGUGAGCAUCAGCCACCAAGCCAUCAGGUGCUCUUUCAUUUCUGUUAGAAAUUACAGCAGCACCAACACUAAGAAAAUGUCCUCUGCAUCUCCGCCAUCUAGUUUCUUCUGGGCGCGAAUAGGGUGUUGCACGGGGACUUCUUGUGGACAUGUAAACAGGCUUCGUUUUACAGACACCACAGUUCAUGCGACAAAUUGCUCUUUCUGAUUUUUCAGGACCCCAUACUGCUCUCAUUCUGCUAAGUGGAUGACCUUUCCCAGCAGCUGAAUUUGUUUUUUCUGGUUCAGUUUCCAUGUAUGCUACUUCUGCCUCAUAUGACCUGUGUCUCAAAAACACCUUUGUUCCAGCAUAAUCAUAACGUUUAGGGCCCAUCCAACGGUAUUUUUCACUCUCCGUAAUAACAUCUCCAUAAAAUCCAUACCCAGCAAAAGAAGCUGCAUAGCGUACGCAUGGUUCAACAUUUGAUGUGGAUGACGUUUUCCAUCUCACAACUUGAGCUAUAUCAAGGUACACCCUUUUACCCAAGACAAUGUGCAAUGCAGAUGUUAUGGGAUCUCGUAUUCCAGUUGUACUGCAAAAGAAAAUUUUAAUAUAAUGAAAGAUUGUGUUAGAUAAGUGUGUGUGUGUGUGAUUUACAAUCUUGUUAAUAAAUUUUACAUGAAUCACAUAAAGAAGAAAAUUGCAAAACCUUAUUCCUGAUAACAACCUCACAACCAAACUCUAGCAAAUGAACUUAAAGAGACAAAAAUUAGUAUGCCUAUAUGGAUAAAAUAUAUAACAAGAAGACAAUACCACAUCACAAUGGCAUCAGUUGAACCAGCAGGAAUAAUUCCAAAUCUAAACCGUUCUUUGAGUCGAGGGAACUCUAGAUCUUGAUCUGUCAGUAUCCAGAGCAGCAAAAGAACCACUAUUAGAUAUUAUGCAUUAUCAGGUGCCAAUAGACGUGAAAUGGCAGAUGCAUACUCCUACUGGCUUCAUCUGGUUAUUAUUAUGAUGGCCAUUGGAUUAUGAGAUACAAUUAAGCAUAAGAUAUCUUAGUUAACUAAAAUCACCUAAAUUCUGGAGCUUACUAACCUGUAAAGGAAGGACCAUCUUCUGUUCCUGUAAUUUCAGAUACAUGAAGUAAUACGUUAGAUAACCACUAGCUUCAAUUACAAUUGAAAUCCAGAUAUGUGCUUGUAUAGAUGUCAAGAUACUAUGGUACAUACUGAAAUCUCCUAAUCCAGAACCGUUACAUAUAGAACUUGAAAUAAGAGGAGAAUUAUCUUCGUUUUUGUGAGCAGUUUCUGGAACCGUCUCAUUUGACUUGGGAACUAAAGCACUGCCCUUGCUUCCAUCAGAAUGAAUGAAAUCUGAAGGAGAUGGAGGGUGAGGAGCUCUAUACCUAGGAAGAAGAAACCCAUUAAGGAUUUCAUUGAAGAAGCCAUCACCGCCCUGGAGCCAUAUCAAAAAGCAAUAAGCAAUAAUCAGAAAAAUAGUCACAAGACCUCUUGUAACUUAGCAUAGUGCAGAAACAGAUCAGAGAUUGAAACCAAUGCACAGGUCAAGGCCCAUAAAACCAAGGAUAUGAGCAGGACUGGUCCACAUGAAAUUCACAGCUGUCAAGCAUUCAUCCCCAGUUACAUUAGGAUCUACAUAUGUGCAGUUACGCAGAAAGUUCACUGUUGGCAGCAUUGAGGUUUUCUUUAUAAACUAACUAAUGGCAUCAACCAUUGUUUAAUUGACCUCGAAAUCCCAUGAUUUACUAUUUCCUACUACUAAACAGAAAAAAAGAAGCAAAAAGUGAGGAAAAUGAAAGGAUCCUCAUGCUUACGACAGCUAUGACACCAUCAUAUGAAUUGAGUUCCUUGUUGGCAAGAGAUGCCAUCACAUCAAAUGCAUGUCCCGCCCUCUCAGUUACAACCACCUUUGCUUCUACAUCAGCGCGUGAGAAAAUGGGAGCCACAGUUUCCCAAGUCCUACAGCCAUUUGCUUUCCCACUCCUUGGAUUAACGAAAACCUAGUCAAUAGGAAAUAAAAGUCUGGAAGCAUUUUUACCACUAGUUUAUGACUUCACCAACUGAAAAUCUAUUGAAAAACAUAAAUGGCAUAGCAAUCAACUAAUUGCAGAACAAACCAGAAGAUUCUUUGGUCUCUCAACUUCUAUUUUCAGUGAAGCAUUAAUUCGAUUAACCCAUAACUGACAUGUCCGCAAAUCCUUGUGACCAAAAGUGUAUGUGGUCAGGACCCACAGACAAGGCUGAGUCUGAGACUUUUGAACACCAUGCACUGAAAAGCGAUACAUCUCAGAGUCGUAAGACUUGCGACUCAAAAAAUACUUCCCAGCAUUAGGGUGAUUUGAUCCAUGAUUGAAACCAUAUUUAACAAACUCCACACCAUACACAUCAAAAAAUUUGAUCUCUGUUGCAACUUUGGGAACAAAUUUAAUUCCCAAACAAAUUGAUUCAUCAGUUUCGAAGGAAUCAAGCAAUUCCCAAGACAAACCAUCAGAAUCGAGAGUUAGAACAACUUCCCCAACAUUAUCCAAGAAAAGGGUCGACCUCAAAACCGAUGAUGCUUCCCCACCUUCUACCUCUACAUUAUCCAAAGGAGAUUUAUCUCCACCAAUACUAAUACUAGCCUCAUCAUCUCCCCGAAUUUCCAUGAAGCCAGAUUCAAAAAUGAAAUAACUUGAACUUGUAUUAUUUUUAGAAUCUAACAAAAUCUGAGUUAUCUUGCGAUGAACUCACCUGAUUUGAAAAUGGAAAAGGGAAUUCCGCAAUUCCUUUAUCCAAAUCAGGUUAUCUGAUUUAUCACACAAAGCAAAGAAUCAUCCAAAUUGGAGAGACGGCGUCAGAAAAAAGGUCGUAGAUAUUUAUUUUUGUUGGGCUACGAAUUUGGCAUUAGCCCCCGCAAUUCCACUGUUUCUGCUCAAAAAGAAAAAACGGAUCGUAAGAUUCGG